AUGAGAAGCUGAAGCGCGAGUGUGAUUGGUGCUCAGUGAUUCUGGAGGGACUUGGUGACUGUUGACAACGCAAACUUCUGCGGACCCAAGACUCUACACUCUUCAGAGUAGGGGUGAAGGCACGUCAGCGACCAGACAAGGAGUCAUGAAGAGACAGCGGGGAGCCCUGCUGGGGCUUCUGUGGCUGCAGGUUUGCUGGGUGAGAGGGAUAGACGUGGAGCAGACACCUGCAGCCCUGAGCCUCCAGGAGGGAGCCAGCUCUACCCUGAGGUGCAAUUUUUCCAGCUCGGUGACCAAUGUGCAGUGGUUCCGACAGAACCCCGGGGGCGGCAGCCUCACCCGGCUGUUUUACAUCGCUUCAGGGAUGAAGCAGGAUGGGAGGUUGAACUGCACGGUGAACCCUAAGGACCGGCACAGCAGCCUGCACAUCAUGGCCUCCCAGCAGGAAGACUCAGCCACCUAUCUGUGUGCGGUGCAGGCACAGUGCUCCCUGCUGCUCUGCAGCCUGUCCCCAAACUGCAGCUGGGCUCCCAGCCCAGCCUCCUCCACCAGGAAGCCUUCCUGUCUCAGUUUCAUUUGCACAGCCUUAUGUUUCGUUAUUCAUUUUGUCAGUCUUUUAAUUCUGUCUAUAAUUAUAAACUUAUAAUGCUAACAUGGAGCUCUUAGAGAUGCUAAACACAGUGGCAAGGUUCAAAGUCACGUUUAAGUAAACAGUGGAAAUGUCCAACUCAGGGUCAAAGCUAGAGCUUCAAUGAGCAGAGACUAAAUAGGUUACUAUGGC
Felis catus (domestic cat) is the source of this 781-nucleotide non-coding RNA. The record is from the annotation of a RefSeq genome assembly. NCBI's taxonomy places the organism in Eukaryota, Metazoa, Chordata, Mammalia, Carnivora, Felidae.